Molecule: long non-coding RNA, 3556 nt
Organism: Dioscorea cayenensis subsp. rotundata (Guinea yam)
Lineage: Eukaryota; Viridiplantae; Streptophyta; Magnoliopsida; Dioscoreales; Dioscoreaceae
Exons: 3
Source: RefSeq, a predicted model, not a curated record
UUGAUGCAAAACUUGUUUUCCAUCAUCCCGUCUUGCCUGUGUUUUCAAUAUUUUAUAAGACUGCUAAUAUUUUUCUCUCCUGGCUUUCAACAGAUUCGGAGUCUCAUCGGCAGAAAACUUCAGAUGUCUUCAUGAGGAUCAAGCAUGUGUCCCCAGAUGGUUGGCUUCGCCUGCCCAGCUUAUCUUUUCCCUUUUUGUAUCCUCGUUUGUGAUCUUUUCGUUGUUCAGUUAGCUGUUUUUCCUCAUCUAUGCUGUUGCUGUGGCAAGAUAUACAUUGAAGCUGUUGAGGUUUAGGAUGAUCAGAAGUGGGGAUGCUGUGCAUUGCUGUGGAUACACUGAAUUGAGUCAAAGGUGCAGUGAAAGCCUGGGAACAUCACUCAACUGGAAUGACAGCAUCCUAACAAUUAGUGAUUGCAUUAAGUUAUCUUUAUUUUGUUCUAUUACAGUACCUGUUGUGUGUUUGUAUUAUGUGUUUUAGAAGUUCUGGUUGUAUGUAUUAGUCUGCCUAGUUGGCAUGCCCAGCAAAUGUUUGUUUAAAUGUUUGACUUAACAAUGAAUGCAAGGAUGAACUAAAUUUCAGAGCAAUUGUUUUGCCAGUACUUCUUCUUCAUUCUUAGUAACAAAAUUAGUGCUAUCUUCAGAUCAAAAACUGAGUCUUUAAGAGAAAAGAUUAAAUACAUUCUUGCCUCAGCAGUGGUAUUAGAGAUGUCAAGCUCUUUAGCAAAGGAUGCUGAUGUUCCCUACUUCAACGGUGACAACUAUAACCUUUGGGCUCUGAUGAUGAAGACCAUGUACGUUUAGAUCAAAGGAUCUAUGGAAAUUAGUUGAGAAAGGAUUCAGUGAAGAAGGAGAUACAACUAUAAUCAAUGAAAGUCUCAAGAAGGAUGCCAAGGCCAUGUACCUGAUCCAGCGAGCCCUUUAUCCUAGAAUACUGGUACGGAUAUCUGAAGAAAAUAAAGGAGGCAUGGGAUAUAAUAAAAACUGAAUUCCAAGGAGACUCAGACAAUUCCAACAUACAAUUUCAAUUUCAUCCACUUCAAAGGGAGUUUGAUGUUGUUAAAAUGAAGCAAGGUGAGAGUGUCCAAGACUUUGUAAGCAGGGUCCUGGACAUCGUAUAUCAAAUCAGAGUAUUGAAGCAAGAUCUUCCUCAAAAGGCUAUUGUCUCUAAAAUUCUCAUAAGCUUGACUCCCAGAUUUUCACAAGCAGUUCAUUAAUCAUUUGCUUAAACACACUCACUAUAGAAUAGCUCAGUGGCUCACUAAAGAAUCAUGAGGCCAUACUCAACAUUGAAGGAAACCAUCAAGAAGGAGAGAAAGCACUGAAUGCUGGCAGAAGUGGUGUUCAAUUCAAUGAACAUCCACAUCGAGGAGGAAAAGGCCGAGGUCACUAUUUCCCUAGAAGCAGAGGUCGUGGGCUCGGGCGAGGAAGAAGCUCAGAGCUCGGUCGCCUAGAACAUACUUAAUCAGCAGAGCCUAGUAAACAAUAUAAAGGCGUUCAAUGUUUUGUAUGCAAGAAGUAUGGGAAUGUUAAAGCCCAAUGUUGGUAUAGAAACAGAGAAGCUAAUAUAGUAAAAGAAGAGAAGGAGAAGGAAGAAGAAGGAGUUGCGUUCAUGGCAAUCUAUGAAGAACCAAAGAAGAGAGGAGGUACCUGGCUCAUUGAUAGUGGUUGUUCAAACCACAUGACAGGUGAGAAGAAUCUAUUUCAGCAUAUCGAAGACACUCCAAGCUGCUCUAUCACAGUAAGAGACGGGAAAGCUCUGAAGGUUGAAGGAAUAGGAAGUGUGAAUCUCUACUCAAGCAAAGGGAAAAUCACUACCUUGAAUGAUGUACGUACAGUUUGUCCCAAUUUUAGCUCACAAUUUGCUGAGCGUUGGGCAAAUGAUGGAUUCAGGAUUUGAUGUAGAAUUCACCAAAAGAGUGUGUAACAUCAUGGAAACCGAAUCCAAAGCAAGAGUUGCACAGGUAUGUAUGACAACUCACAAAUUGUUUCCCUUAGAAGCAGAUGAUGUUGGAGCUGCGUAUAUGGCGCAAGAUGGAGAUGUUUCAGAUCUAUGGCACAGGAGAUACGGUCAUAUAAAUACAAAAAGCUUGAAACGACUAUCAGAUCAGCAAUUAGUGUAGGGAUUGCCCAAUAUCAAAUAUGUGCAACCAUGCGAAGCAUGCUCUUAAGGAAAGCAAGCUCAAGCUGAAUUUCCUAAAGGAUUGGCAAAGCGUGCGGUGGCUCCUCUGGAGCUAAUUCACGAUGAUCUCGUCGAACCAAUCAGAACACCAUCUAUAGGAGGUAAUUACUACUUCCUUCUACUGACUGAUGACUAUUCUAGACAUAGUUGGGUGUACUUUAUACAGAGAAAACAAGAAGCUUUCCAGCAAUUCAAGCAAUUUAAGCUGCUGGUGGAGAAGCAACUAUCACUUCCUAUGAAGAUCUUAUGCACAGACCAUGGAGGAGAACUCACAUCCAAAGAAUUCGAGGCCUAUUGUAAUACUGUCGGAAUCCUCCAUCAAUUGUCGGCUCCACAAAUACUAUAGCAAAAUGGCGUUGCCGAGCGUAAGAACAAAAUGGUCACUGAGAUGGCGCGAACUCUAUUAAAAUAGAUGAAGGUUCCACCGGAAUACUGGGACGAAGCGAUGGCCACAGCCGUCUACAUUCUCAAUCGAUCACCCACUUCAGCCAUGAAGUUUCAAACUCCAGUGGAGGUGCUGACCGGAGAAAGACCAAGCGUAGACCAUUUCAAGGUCUUCGGGUGUUUGGCUCAUGUGCUCGUUGACUCGCAGCAAAGAGCAAAAUUUGACUCCAAGACAUGAGGAGGAGUCUUCAUUGGCUACAACGAUCGCUCAAGAGCCUAUAAAAUUAUAGAUCAUGAUUCUAAAUGUGUACACGUCAGCAGGAAUGUGCGCUUUUUCGAAGAGAAGCAAUAGGAUUGGCUGAGACAUACUGACUCGGAUGCAUAAAACUCUGAGCUAGCACAUGAGAAGGAGGUGACUCAAACUAUUGAUUGUCCAACGCAAUCUAUACCAUUCGAUCAGAUUAACAAACGGACGGAUCAUUAUCAAUUCUCCACGGUCGUACUAAACAUAUCAACACACGUUUCCAUUUUAUCCGGGAACUUAUAAAGGAUGAAACAAUAGAUGUGAAGCAUUGCAGGACUGAGAAGCAGUUGGCAGACAUUUUCACCAAGAGUUUGUUAAGAAAUAAAUUUGAAGUACUUCGUGGUGAAUUAGGAGUUCGUAAAACUUUUGAUCAAGGGGAGGAUGUUGAGGUUUAGGUUGAUUAGAAGUGGGGAUGUUGUGCACUGCUGUGGAUACACUGAAUUGAGUCAAAGGUACAGUGAAAGCCUGGGAACAUCACUCAACUGGAAUGACAACAUCCUGGCAAUUAGUGAUUGUAUUAAGUUAUCUUUAUUUUGUUCUAUUACAGUAUCUGUGUGUGUGUGUUUGUAUUAUGUGUUUUAGAAGUUCUGGUUGUAUGUAUUAGGUUGCCUGGUUAGCAUGCCCAGCAAAUAUUUGUUUAAAUGUUUGACUGAACAAUGAAUGCAAGGAUGAACUGAAUUUCAGAGUAA